GAUGAACGCUGGCGGCGUGCCUAAUACAUGCAAGUCGAGCGAACGGACGAGAAGCUUGCUUCUCUGAUGUUAGCGGCGGACGGGUGAGUAACACGUGGAUAACCUACCUAUAAGACUGGGAUAACUUCGGGAAACCGGAGCUAAUACCGGAUAAUAUUUUGAACCGCAUGGUUCAAAAGUGAAAGACGGUCUUGCUGUCACUUAUAGAUGGAUCCGCGCUGCAUUAGCUAGUUGGUAAGGUAACGGCUUACCAAGGCAACGAUGCAUAGCCGACCUGAGAGGAUGAUCGGCCACACUGGAACUGAGACACGGUCCAGAUUCCUACGGGAGGCAGCAGUAGGGAAUCUUCCGCAAUGGGCGAAAGCCUGACGGAGCAACGCCGCGUGAGUGAUGAAGGUCUUCGGAUCGUAAAACUCUGUUAUUAGGGAAGAACAUAUGUGUAAGUAACUGUGCACAUCUUGACGGUACCUAAUCAGAAAGCCACGGCUAACUACGUG
Molecule: ribosomal RNA, 497 nt
Filed under: uncultured bacterium
Lineage: Bacteria
Description: partial 16S ribosomal RNA
Rfam family: Bacterial small subunit ribosomal RNA
Source: RNAcentral